RNAcentral lists this ribosomal RNA (486 nucleotides) under uncultured bacterium. RNAcentral's name for it is "bacterial SSU rRNA". It matches the Rfam family "Bacterial small subunit ribosomal RNA", at positions 28 to 511 of the family's 1533-position model. The record is from RNAcentral.
GAUGAACGCUAGCGGCAGGCCUAACACAUGCAAGUCGAACGGUAACAUGAGUAGCAAUACUUGAUGACGAGUGGCGCACGGGUGCGUAACGCGUAUGCAACUUACCUCUAACUGGAGAAUAGCCUUCCGAAAGGAAGAAUAAUACUCCAUAAUAUUACGAUGUGGCAUCACAUUGUUCUUAAAGCUUCGGCGGUUAGAGAUGGGCAUGCGUCUGAUUAGCUUGUUGGUGAGGUAACGGCUCACCAAGGCAACGAUCAGUAGGGGGCCUGAGAGGGUUAUCCCCCANACUGGUACAGAGACACGGACCAGACUCCUACGGGAGGCAGCAGUAAGGAUAUUGGACAAUGGCGCAAGGCUGAUCCAGCCAUGCCGCGUGCAGGAAGACGGACCUAUGGUUUGUAAACUGCUUUUGAACGGGAGAAAACCCCCCUACGUGUAGGGGGCUGAUAGUACUGUUAGAAUAAGCAUCGGCUAACUUCGUGCCAG